UCCUGGCUCAGAACGAACGCUGGCGGCGUGCCUAACACAUGCAAGUCGGACGAGAAAGGGGUUUCGGCCCUGAGUAAAGUGGCGCACGGGUGAGUAACACGUAGGUAACCUGCCUCUAUGACUGGGAUAACCCGUCGAAAGAUGGGCUAAUACCGGAUAAGACCACGGGUACGGAGGUAUUUGGGGUCAAAGGUAGCCUCUAUAUAUAAGCUAUUGCAUAGAGAUGGGCCUGCGCACCAUUAGCUAGUUGGUAGGGUAACGGCCUACCAAGGCAAAGAUGGUUAGCUGGUCUGAGAGGAUGAUCAGCCACACUGGAACUGAGACACGGUCCAGACUCCUACGGGAGGCAGCAGUGGGGAAUAUUGCGCAAUGGGCGAAAGCCUGACGCAGCAACGCCGCGUGAGUGAUGAAGGCCUUCGGGUCGUAAAGCUCUGUCGGGGGGAACGAAUGUUUCUGGGGUUAACAGCCCUGGGGAGUGACGGUACCCUCAAAGGAAGCACCGGCUAACUCUGUGCCAGCAGCCGCGGUAA
RNAcentral lists this ribosomal RNA (530 nucleotides) under uncultured delta proteobacterium. RNAcentral's name for it is "bacterial SSU rRNA". It matches the Rfam family "Bacterial small subunit ribosomal RNA", at positions 17 to 523 of the family's 1533-position model. The record is from RNAcentral. Lineage: Bacteria; Deltaproteobacteria.